This 700-nucleotide ribosomal RNA is filed under the name uncultured bacterium. RNAcentral's name for it is "bacterial SSU rRNA". It matches the Rfam family "Bacterial small subunit ribosomal RNA", at positions 94 to 823 of the family's 1533-position model. The record is from RNAcentral.
AGUGGCGGACGGGUGAGUAACACGUAAGAAUUUGCCUUUAGGAGGGGGACAACAACUGGAAACGGUUGCUAAUACCCCAUAUGCUUUCGAGUGAAAUGGAUUUUUCCGCCUAGAGAGAAGCUUGCGGCUGAUUAGCUUGUUGGUGAGGUAAUGGCUCACCAAGGCGACGAUCAGUAUCUGGUUUGAGAGGAUGAUCAGACACACUGGAACUGAGACACGGUCCAGACUCCUACGGGAGGCAGCAGUGGGGAAUUUUCCGCAAUGGGCGAAAGCCUGACGGAGCAAUCUCGCGUGAGGGAUGACGGCCUAUGGGUUGUAAACCUCUUUUUUCAGGGAGGAACAAAAUGACGUGUACCUGAAGAAUAAGCAUCGGCUAACUCCGUGCCAGCAGCCGCGGUAAGACGGAGGAUGCAAGUGUUAUCCGGAAUCACUGGGCGUAAAGCGUCUGUAGGUGGUUUAAUAAGUCAACUGUUAAAUCUUGAAGCUCAACUUCAAAAUCGCAGUCGAAACUAUUAGACUAGAGUAUAGUAGGGGUAAAGGGAAUUUCCAGUGGAGCGGUGAAAUGCGUAGAUAUUGGAAAGAACACCGAUGGCGAAGGCACUUUACUGGGCUAUUACUGACACUCAGAGACGAAAGCUAGGGUAGCAAAUGGGAUUAGAUACCCCAGUAGUCCUAGCCGUAAACAAUGGAUACUAGAUGU